Long non-coding RNA from Nerophis ophidion (straightnose pipefish), 818 nucleotides. RefSeq lists it as uncharacterized. The record is from RefSeq and is a predicted model, not a curated record. Lineage: Eukaryota; Metazoa; Chordata; Actinopteri; Syngnathiformes; Syngnathidae. The transcript is spliced from 2 exons.
UACAAGUGUAGCAGGUAUAUAAGUUAUAUUGUAUGCAUUCCACCAAAAAUCCCUCACGUUUUAUUUGAUUUCUCUAUAAUAUCCAUUGUCACUUUUAUUUUGUCAGUUUUUUAGGAAAUAGUUCGUUUUGGGAGAAUUUGUCAUUUUAUUUUGAAAUCCUACCUUCUUCCGGAAGUGACGUUGAGUCCUCACUCGUUGCUGAGACAUGCGUGAGGAAACUGGUUUGCUGCUGAGUCCUGUGUUAACGCUGCCGCACUGUUUCCUGUAUAUUUCAUACAGGUAUGUUUCUGUUGCUCCCAAAACUUUAUUCUAUUUUUCUGUACUGUUAUAUUUAUUAUUAAUUUUCCUAUUGUAUAAAUCAUUUCACGGUGGUGUAUUCAUUUUCAGUGUAUUUGUAAAUGUGAUGUAUAGGUUUUGUGAUAAAUGUGAAUGUUUCAUAUAACAUUUUUGUUCAUUUAAACUGACUCGUUGCUGAGACAUGCGUGAGGAAACUGGUUUGCUGCUGAGUCCUGUGUUAACGCUGCCGCACUGUUUCCUGUUUCAUACAGGUAAAAAUAAAUAUGCCACCUGUUUCGGCUAAAGGCAACCACAGAGUCCUCUUGUCUUCAAAGCAACUACACAACGCAGACUCGAACCGGCUACACAAGGAAAUGGGAUAAAAUUGCUAUGAUAUGAAAAGGGGUUGGAUUAAAUAAGCUCUGCUUCUUCCUACUCCUUUUCGGACGUGCUGUAAUGAAACAACUGGAAAUAUGUGAUGCAUCACAUUGUAUCGUAUGCAUGUUCAAAAUAAACUGAAACUAAAUUGAAAAUCAUAAUAA